UUCGCAAUGCCCGAAAGGGUGACGAAGCGACGCCGCGUGGGUGAGGAAGGCCUUCGGGUUGUAAAGCCCUGUCAGGAGUUAAGAAAUGUAGACUCGCUAAUAUCGGGUCUAUUUGACAAAGGCUCCAAAGGAAGCCACGGCUAACUCUGUGCCAGCAGCCGCGGUAAUACAGAGGUGGCAAGCGUUGUUCGGAAUUAUUGGGCGUAAAGAGCACGUAGGUGGAUUUGUAAGUCAGACGUGAAAGCCUUCUGUUCAACGGAAGAAUUGCAUCUGAAACUACAAACCUUGAGUGUAGGAGGGGAGAAUGGAACUUCUGGUGGAGCGGUGAGAUGCGUAGAUAUCAGAAGGAACGCCGGCGGCGAAAGCGAUUCUCUGGCCUAUUACUGACACUCAGUGUGCGAAAGCUAGGGGAGCAAACGGGAUUAGAUACCCCGGUAGUCCUAGCUGUAAACGAUGGGCACUAAGUAGAGGGGUUUU
This 477-nucleotide ribosomal RNA is filed under the name Candidatus Scalindua brodae. Its description in RNAcentral is "bacterial SSU rRNA". It matches the Rfam family "Bacterial small subunit ribosomal RNA", at positions 365 to 832 of the family's 1533-position model. The record is from RNAcentral. RNAcentral also lists the same sequence under 1 other name. Lineage: Bacteria; Pseudomonadati; Planctomycetota; Candidatus Brocadiia; Candidatus Brocadiales; Candidatus Scalinduaceae.